This 419-nucleotide long non-coding RNA is filed under the name Equus caballus (horse). Its description in RNAcentral is "lncRNA (ENSECAG00000054187.1)". Lineage: Eukaryota; Metazoa; Chordata; Mammalia; Perissodactyla; Equidae. The record is from RNAcentral.
AUAUGUCUCUUUGACUUGAUUGUAUUUAAAAACAAAAGACUCAGGAGGAAACUUUGACCUUCCCCCAACUGCCUAAGAAUUUAAGAGAGAAGGCAUGUUUCAGGUAGUGAUUAGCAUGAGAUAAAACUUAACUGGCUGGACAUUCCUUGCUCUGCCACCACUGAAGCUGAGAAAUCCUGGACCUCUGACAAGAGCUGGGAGAAAGUAAGAGUUCUUGCCACAUCAGUAUCCUACAUCAGUCCCUGAAGGAGAGUGGAACCUACACUGAAAUGUCUCUUAUUAAAUACCUGAUUGUUUGCUUACACAAGAUAGGCCUAACUUUGGAAAUCCACCUGCAUCACCACCUCCUGAAGUGAAUUUAACUGGACUGACCUAUUGUCAGGACUAAGAGACUUGAUCAAUGACAUGGAACAACCUGC